This 795-nucleotide ribosomal RNA is filed under the name Triticum aestivum (bread wheat). RNAcentral's name for it is "partial small subunit ribosomal RNA". The record is from RNAcentral. Lineage: Eukaryota; Viridiplantae; Streptophyta; Magnoliopsida; Poales; Poaceae.
AUGUCCUUUUUUGAUUCUACUCCUCUAGGCAGGAUUCUUAGCCGGGUCUCUUCAGAUUUGAGUAUCAUUGAUCUUGAUGUUCCAUUUGCCUUCAUGUUUACCUUUAGUGCCAGCUUAACUGCAUAUAGCAAUCUGGUAGUAUUGGCUGUUGUUACAUGGCAAGUUCUGUUUGUAUCGUUGCCGAUGAUAGUUUUGGCAAUUCGGUUGCAGAGGUACUAUUUAGCCUCAGCUAAGGAAUUGAUGCGGAUUAAUGGCACUACCAAGUCUGCCCUAGCAAAUCACUUAGGUGAAUCGAUUUCAGGGGUUAUAACAAUACGUGCCUUUGAGGAACAGGAUCGUUUCUUUGCUCAAAAUUUGGAGCUAGUCGACAAGAAUGCUAGUCCAUACUUUUAUAAUUCUGCAGCUACUGAAUGGUUGAUUCAGCGCCUGGAAACAAUGAGUGCUGCGGUUCUUUCUUUUUCUGCCUUUGUCAUGGUUCUUCUUCCUCCAGGAACUUUUAGCCCCGGUUUUGUUGGAAUGGCAUUCUCUUAUGGUCUUUCCCUAAAUAAUACUCUUGUUAACUGUAUUCAAAGGCAAUGCAGCCUUGCGAAUCAAAUAAUAUCUGUGGAAAGGGUGAACCACUACAUGGACAUACAAAGUGAGCCAGAAGUUAUUGAAGAAAACCGUCCGGCACCAGAUUGGCCCCAAGUUGGCAGUGUGGAGCUUAAAGAUCUGAAGAUUAGGUACAGGGAAGACGCACCCCUUGUACUACAUGGUAUCACUUGCAAGUUUGAAGUGGAGACAAGAUUGGUAUAG